UUUCCUGUGGCUCAGUAGGUCGAGCAUUGCUGUAACAAUGCAAAGUUUGUGGGUUCAAAUUCCAGGAAAA
Danionella cerebrum is the source of this 70-nucleotide non-coding RNA. The record is from the annotation of a GenBank genome assembly. Lineage: Eukaryota; Metazoa; Chordata; Actinopteri; Cypriniformes; Danionidae.